This 468-nucleotide ribosomal RNA is filed under the name uncultured bacterium. RNAcentral's name for it is "partial 16S ribosomal RNA". It matches the Rfam family "Bacterial small subunit ribosomal RNA", at positions 28 to 507 of the family's 1533-position model. The record is from RNAcentral.
GACGAACGCUGGCGGCGUGCUUAACACAUGCAAGUCGAACGGAAAGUCCCUGCUUUUGUGGUUUGCUCGAGUGGCGAACGGGUGAGUAACACGUGAGUAACCUGCCCUUGACUUUGGGAUAACUUCAGGAAACUGGGGCUAAUACCGGAUAUGAGCUCCUGCUGCAUGGUGGGGUUUGGAAAGUUUCGGCGGUUGGGGAUGGACUCGCGGCUUAUCAGCUUGUUGGUGGGGUAGUGGCUUACCAAGGCUUUGACGGGUAGCCGGCCUGAGAGGGUGACCGGCCACAGGGGGACUGAGAUACGGCACAGACUGCUACGGGAGGCAGAAGUGGGGAAUAUUGCACAAUGGGCGGAAGACUGAUGCAGCAACGCCGCGUGCGGGAUGAAGGCCUUCGGGUUGUAAACCGCUUUCGCCUGUGACGAAGCGUGAGUGACGGUAAUGGGUAAAGAAGCACCGGAUAACUACGUG